AGCAGCCGCCGCGGUAAUACGAAGGGUGCAAGCGUUAAUCGGAAUUACUGGGCGUAAAGCGCGCGUAGGUGGUUCAUUAAGUUGGAUGUGAAAGCCCUGGGCUCAACCUGGGAACUGCAUCCAAAACUGGUGAGCUAGAGUACGGUAGAGGGUAGUGGAAUUUCCUGUGUAGCGGUGAAAUGCGUAGAUAUAGGAAGGAACACCAGUGGCGAAGGCGACUACCUGGACUGAUACUGACACUGAGGUGCGAAAGCGUGGGGAGCAAACAGGAUUAGAUACCCCCGUAGUCCCUGUCUCUUAUAC
Molecule: ribosomal RNA, 303 nt
Filed under: uncultured bacterium
Lineage: Bacteria
Description: partial 16S ribosomal RNA
Rfam family: Bacterial small subunit ribosomal RNA
Source: RNAcentral